ACGUAGGGGGCAAGCGUUAUCCGGAAUUAUUGGGCGUAAAGAGUGCGUAGGUGGUUUUUUAAGCGUGAGGUGAAAGGCAAUAGCUUAACUAUUGUAAGCCUUGCGAACUGGAAGACUUGAGUGCAGGAGAGGAAAGUGGAAUUCCUAGUGUAGCGGUGAAAUGCGUAGAUAUUAGCAAGAACACCAGUGGCGAAGGCGGCUCACUGGCCCGGUACUGACGCUGAGGUGCGAAAGCGUGGGGAGCAAACAG
RNAcentral lists this ribosomal RNA (250 nucleotides) under uncultured prokaryote. RNAcentral's name for it is "partial 16S rRNA". It matches the Rfam family "Bacterial small subunit ribosomal RNA", at positions 525 to 775 of the family's 1533-position model. The record is from RNAcentral.